GCAAACUUGGUCAUUUAGAGGAAGUAAAAGUCGUAACAAGGUUUCCGUAGGUGAACCUGCGGAAGGAUCAUUAAUGAAUUUUGUGAGGGGUUGUAGCUGGCCUUUUCGUUUGAGAGGCAUUUUUGUGCACACCCUGAUCAUCAUCCAUUUUAACACCUGUGCACACACUGUAGGUUGGUCUGUGGGGCGAGGUUCUUGUAAUGGGCUUUGUCUUGUGGGUCCUCCUAUGUCUUUUCAUUUACACACUACGAGUCAGAAGAAUGUCUUGUGCGUAAUAAAACGCAUCUAUAUACAACUUUCAGCAACGGAUCUCUUGGCUCUCGCAUCGAUGAAGAACGCAGC
This 342-nucleotide unclassified non-coding RNA is filed under the name uncultured fungus. RNAcentral's name for it is "partial contains small subunit ribosomal RNA, internal transcribed spacer 1, and 5.8S ribosomal RNA". The stretch from base 1 to 73 matches the Rfam family "Eukaryotic small subunit ribosomal RNA", at positions 1759 to 1831 of the family's 1831-position model. Lineage: Eukaryota; Fungi. The record is from RNAcentral.